This 236-nucleotide long non-coding RNA is filed under the name Sorghum bicolor (sorghum). RNAcentral's name for it is "long non-coding RNA (SBIC_LNC007580)". Lineage: Eukaryota; Viridiplantae; Streptophyta; Magnoliopsida; Poales; Poaceae. The record is from RNAcentral.
CUAGAAAAAUUUAGAGGAAUGGCCAGAGUAAUGCUAAAAGAUGGUAAAUCCUGUCGCUUUUGGGAUGAUCUUUGGAGCGACGAAAUUUUAUCCCACAGAUUCCCCGAGUUAUACUCUGCUAAGAAGAAGAAAAUCAGUACUGCUGCUGGUCUGUCUACUACCCAGAUUCAAGAUCUUUUUCAUUUACCGCUUUCUCAAGAAGCCUUUCUACAGAUGGGGCAGCUUCAAGAAACAAU